RNAcentral lists this ribosomal RNA (903 nucleotides) under Citrobacter sp. Cpo061. RNAcentral's name for it is "partial 23S ribosomal RNA". It matches the Rfam family "Bacterial large subunit ribosomal RNA", at positions 644 to 1551 of the family's 2925-position model. The record is from RNAcentral. RNAcentral also lists the same sequence under 1 other name. Lineage: Bacteria; Pseudomonadati; Pseudomonadota; Gammaproteobacteria; Enterobacterales; Enterobacteriaceae.
GGUUAACCGAAUAGGGGAGCCGAAGGGAAACCGAGUCUUAACUGGGCGUUAAGUUGCAGGGUAUAGACCCGAAACCCGGUGAUCUAGCCAUGGGCAGGUUGAAGGUUGGGUAACACUAACUGGAGGACCGAACCGACUAAUGUUGAAAAAUUAGCGGAUGACUUGUGGCUGGGGGUGAAAGGCCAAUCAAACCGGGAGAUAGCUGGUUCUCCCCGAAAGCUAUUUAGGUAGCGCCUCGUGAAUUCAUCUUCGGGGGUAGAGCACUGUUUCGGCUAGGGGGUCAUCCCGACUUACCAACCCGAUGCAAACUGCGAAUACCGAAGAAUGUUAUCACGGGAGACACACGGCGGGUGCUAACGUCCGUCGUGAAGAGGGAAACAACCCAGACCGCCAGCUAAGGUCCCAAAGUCAUGGUUAAGUGGGAAACGAUGUGGGAAGGCACAGACAGCCAGGAUGUUGGCUUAGAAGCAGCCAUCAUUUAAAGAAAGCGUAAUAGCUCACUGGUCGAGUCGGCCUGCGCGGAAGAUGUAACGGGGCUAAACCAUGCACCGAAGCUGCGGCAGCGACACUAUGUGUUGUUGGGUAGGGGAGCGUUCUGUAAGCCGUUGAAGGUGUGUCGUGAGGCAUGCUGGAGGUAUCAGAAGUGCGAAUGCUGACAUAAGUAACGAUAAUGCGGGUGAAAAACCCGCACGCCGGAAGACCAAGGGUUCCUGUCCAACGUUAAUCGGGGCAGGGUGAGUCGACCCCUAAGGCGAGGCCGAAAGGCGUAGUCGAUGGGAAACAGGUUAAUAUUCCUGUACUUGGUGUUACUGCGAAGGGGGGACGGAGAAGGCUAUGUUAGCCGGGCGACGGUUGUCCCGGUUUAAGCAUGUAGGCGGAGGUUCCAGGUAAAUCCGGUACCUU